CCUUUGCUCAUGAAUAUGAAAAUCACGUGAUGGUAGCUGGAGGCGCGAGAUUGCAAAAUGGCCGUGUAGCAACUAAUCAGAUUGAUUGGCAGGAAAUCCCUCAAGAUGCGCCGGUCUUUUGUGAUGCGGAAUUCUGGAAUGUUCCAAGGAGUGCCUGUAUAAGAACGAGAAAGACCGUUAAUUGGUCUUCUUCACACCACAUCGCUGCUUGGAACAAGUACACGGACGCCUUAUGCCCUUCAUCUUUGAACAUUUGUGGAACAUUCAUUCACUUGGACUAUUCGCUGGAAAGAACAUUGGCCUGUUUGGGAACAUUCAUUCAAUGUUGGUGACUAUUCGCCUUUUGGCCUUUGAACUUCUAUGUAGUGUUAGUUGUUUUAUCGUGUCUGUGUUGUAUUGUGGUGUGUGUGAUUAAAUUGUCUUAAACGCAAUACAACUGCCUUGUGUCACGAGCAAGGCCGGACCAAGCCCCUCUUGGCCGUGGUCCGGCCACCGCUCUGAGCGGUUUCAUCUAUGACACUGUCGCCAGUCACAGCUGCUUCACAUGUGACACUGUGAUUAGACUAUGUAUUUAAGCAUUCAGGAUUACUCUGCCACUGCAUUAUUAUAGCCCAGUCACGCUUUGGUUAUGCUCUUUAGUUGACUCAUAGUUAUUGGACAUUGUUUCUUGUGUUUUGGAUACUGCCUUCUUGGACUGUGUUGUCGUGCGCAAGUGUCGUUUAUAAUAAAACCCACUAAACAUCAUGUCCUUGUCUUGGAGUCCUACAUUUGGUUCCGCUCAUGCACCGUUGGUCCGUGACACCUUGUCACAUUUUGCUCGUUUGAGCAAAGGGGAUGUUGCCCACGAUAAACAUCUCAUUAUAUGAGCACCUUUCCCUGCACCCAUAGGGCCCGGCUGCCCCAUUUGACCCCAUUCUCGAAGAAAAGCUCACAGGUCACAUCACAUACACAUUAAGGUAUCGGGGGAUGCUUUGUUUGUUUGUGUGAGGGGCAUCCUCUCACUUUUCUUCCAAGGGUCACACUCGGUUGACACUGCUGCUGGAUGUCAUUGCGCUUAUGUGGGUUUAGUCUUCCAGGUCAAAUUAUCCCUCAAUUUGAAAUGAAAAUGGAAUCAGUAGAGGCAAGGAUCAGCUCAGGCCCAAGCUCUCUCCUCUGUAUUAAGCCAUCGCAGUGUUGUAAGGCGAACUCAUAUAAUGAACCCUAUCACCACCAUCGCCGCGCCAAUAUCCCCACACCGUAUCAUGCAUA
Molecule: long non-coding RNA, 1248 nt
Organism: Syngnathoides biaculeatus (alligator pipefish)
Lineage: Eukaryota; Metazoa; Chordata; Actinopteri; Syngnathiformes; Syngnathidae
Exons: 3
Source: RefSeq, a predicted model, not a curated record